This 332-nucleotide unclassified non-coding RNA is filed under the name soil metagenome. Its description in RNAcentral is "partial contains 5.8S ribosomal RNA, internal transcribed spacer 2, and large subunit ribosomal RNA". The stretch from base 1 to 120 matches the Rfam family "5.8S ribosomal RNA", at positions 35 to 154 of the family's 154-position model. The record is from RNAcentral.
GAUGAAGAACGCAGCAAAAUGCGAUAAGUAAUGUGAAUUGCAGAAUUCAGUGAAUCAUCGAAUCUUUGAACGCACAUUGCGCCCGCCAGUAUUCUGGCGGGCAUGCCUGUUCGAGCGUCAUUUCAACCCUCAAGCACAGCUUGGUGUUGGGACUCGCGUUAAUUCGCGUUCCCCAAAUUGAUUGGCGGUCACGUCGAGCUUCCAUAGCGUAGUAGUAAAACCCUCGUUACUGGUAAUCGUCGCGGCCCCGCCGUUAAACCCCAACUUCUGAAUGUUGACCUCGGAUCAGGUAGGAAUACCCGCUGAACUUAAGCAUAUCAAUAAGCGGAGGA